CACUUUUACUAUGAAGUUUUGAAAAAAAUCUUAUCCUAGAAUUGAAAGUUCAUAUGCAAUACAAUUUUUUUCAAAGGUCAAAAUAUAGGGCUGUGCGGCAUAUUUUCAACGUUUAUAUGCCCUGAACUUUUCAGAGUUUCAACUAACACUAAUUUUCUUAACUACCCCUACCUCGAAUGAAGGGUUACCACAGAUUUCAAUGUAAACAAUAUGCACAUGUAUAUUUACUGGUAACAUUCCCAAGUUAUGUCUCUAUGAGAUGGAACACAGAGAGCAUAACUGGGAACCAGUAUGUAAACAAAAUUAAUUUUCUAUGAAUAUUUUAAAUUUCCCC
RNAcentral lists this long non-coding RNA (334 nucleotides) under Mytilus galloprovincialis (Mediterranean mussel). The record is from RNAcentral. Lineage: Eukaryota; Metazoa; Mollusca; Bivalvia; Mytilida; Mytilidae.